RNAcentral lists this ribosomal RNA (774 nucleotides) under uncultured Neocallimastigales. Its description in RNAcentral is "partial large subunit ribosomal RNA". It matches the Rfam family "Eukaryotic large subunit ribosomal RNA", at positions 22 to 637 of the family's 3401-position model. Lineage: Eukaryota; Fungi; Neocallimastigomycota; Neocallimastigomycetes; Neocallimastigales. The record is from RNAcentral.
CUAUACAUGACUCUGCGCAUAUCAAUAAGCGGAGGAAAAGAAACUAACAAGGAUUCCCUUAGUAACGGCGAGUGAAGCGGGAAGAGCUCAAAUUUGAAAUCUUCAAGGUUUUACCUUGACGAAUUGUAGUUUAAAGAAGUGUUUUCUGCUGAAGUUUUGGUAAAAGUUCUUUGGAAUAGGACAUCAUAGAGGGUGAGAAUCCCGUAUUUGACCAUUAUUUUCAGCUUUGUGAUACACUUUCAAAGAGUCGGAUUGUUUGGGAAUGCAGUCCAAAAUGGGUGGUAAAUUUCAUCUAAAGCUAAAUAUUGGCGAGAGACCGAUAGCGAACAAGUACCGUGAGGGAAAGAUGAAAAGAACUUUGAAAAGAGAGUUAAACAGUACGUGAAAUUGUCAAAAGGGAAGCGUUUGACACCAGUGUUGUUUUUCUGAAAAUCAAUUAAAGAACUGUUUAUGCUAAGUUGUUUAGACUUUAUCAGCUAACUGUUUAGUUUUGAGCUUUUCUUUAAUGCACUUUUCAGUUAACAAGUCAACAUCAAUUUCUUUUGUUGUAAAAAAGCUUGAGGAAGGUGGCUUGAGAUUCGUCUUAAGUGUUUAUAGCCUCUUGCCUAUGCAGUCGGAGAGAUUGAGGUCUGCAGCGUAGAUCCUUCGGGGCUAAAUGCAUUUGUGCUAAGUUAUAGCAUUUUAUAGACAACUUGUUGACUAUGAUUUGUCUUGUAGCUUACUCGCUUAUGUUAUUUUACCUACGCUUAGGAUAUUGACAGCAGUAUAGACUGU